AUUGAACGCUGGCGGCAUGCUUUACACAUGCAAGUCGAACGGUAACAGGUCUUCGGAUGCUGACGAGUGGCGAACGGGUGAGUAAUGUAUCGGAACGUGCCCAGUAGUGGGGGAUAACUACUCGAAAGAGUGGCUAAUACCGCAUGAGAACUGAGGUUGAAAGCGGGGGACCUUCGGGCCUCGCGCUACUGGAGCGGCCGAUAUCAGAUUAGGUAGUUGGUGGGGUAAAGGCCUACCAAGCCGACGAUCUGUAGCUGGUCUGAGAGGACGACCAGCCACACUGGGACUGAGACACGGCCCAGACUCCUACGGGAGGCAGCAGUGGGGAAUUUUGGACAAUGGACGCAAGUCUGAUCCAGCAAUGCCGCGUGCAGGACGAAGGCCUUCGGGUUGUAAACUGCUUUUAUACAGGAAGAAACACCUCCACGUGUGGAGGCUUGACGGUACUGUAGGAAUAAGGAUCGGCUAACUCCGUGCCAGCAGCCGCGGUAAACU
This 495-nucleotide ribosomal RNA is filed under the name uncultured bacterium. RNAcentral's name for it is "bacterial SSU rRNA". It matches the Rfam family "Bacterial small subunit ribosomal RNA", at positions 30 to 526 of the family's 1533-position model. The record is from RNAcentral.